This 448-nucleotide ribosomal RNA is filed under the name uncultured bacterium. RNAcentral describes it as "partial 16S ribosomal RNA". It matches the Rfam family "Bacterial small subunit ribosomal RNA", at positions 29 to 523 of the family's 1533-position model. The record is from RNAcentral.
AACGAACGCUGGCGGCAUGCCUAACACAUGCAAGUCGAACGAGAUCUUCGGGUCUAGUGGCGCACGGGUGCGUAAUGCGUGGGAAUCUGCCCUUUGGUUCGGAAUAACAGUUGGAAACGACUGCUAAUACCGGAUGAUGACGAAAGUCCAAAGAUUUAUGGCCAGAGGAUGAGCCCGCGUAGGAUUAGCUAGUUGUUGUGGUAAAGGCGCACCAAGGCGUCGAUCCUUAGCUGGUCUGAGAGGAUGAUCAGCCGCUGUGUGACUGUGACACGGCCAAGAAUCAUACUGGAAACAGCGAGGGGGAAUAUUGGAGAAUGUUAUAAAGCCUGAUCCAGAAAUGCUGGGUGAGUGAUGAAGUCCUGAUAAUUGUAGAGCUCUUUCAUACGGGAUUAUCAUGCCAGUACCGGGUGAAUAAGCUCCCGCUAACUCCCUACAGCCGCCGCCGUAA